CUAGCUGUAAACGGUGCACGUUUGCUGUAAAAGGAAUCGACCCCUUUUGUGGCGUAGCUAACGCGUUAAACGUGCCGCCUGGGGAGUACGGUCGCAAGAUUAAAACUCAAAGAAAUUGACGGGGGCCUGCACAAGCGGUGGAGUAUGUGGCUCAAUUCGAUGCAACGCGAAGAACCUUACCUGGCCUUGACAUGUACGUAGUAGAAGGGUGAAAGCCUGACGAGAUAGCAAUAUCAGCGUACACAGGUGC
This 250-nucleotide ribosomal RNA is filed under the name uncultured Verrucomicrobium sp. RNAcentral's name for it is "partial 16S ribosomal RNA". It matches the Rfam family "Bacterial small subunit ribosomal RNA", at positions 796 to 1041 of the family's 1533-position model. The record is from RNAcentral. Lineage: Bacteria; Pseudomonadati; Verrucomicrobiota; Verrucomicrobiia; Verrucomicrobiales; Verrucomicrobiaceae.